GAUGAACGCUGGCGGCGUGCCUAAUACAUGCCAGUCGAGCGAACGGACGAGAAGCUUGCUUCUCUGAUGUUAGCGGCGGACGGGUGAGUAACACGUGGAUAACCUACCUAUAAGACUGGGAUAACUUCGGGAAACCGGAGCUAAUACCGGAUAUUAUUUUGAACCGCAUGGUUCAAAAGUGAAAGACGGUCUUGCUGUCACUUAUAGAUGGAUCCGCGCUGCAUUAGCUAGUUGGUAAGGUAACGGCUUACCAAGGCAACGAUGCAUAGCCGACCUGAGAGGGUGAUCGGCCACACUGGAACUGAGACACGGUCCAGACUCCUACGGGAGGCAGCAGUAGGGAAUCUUCCGCAAUGGGCGAAAGCCUGACGGAGCAACGCCGCGUGAGUGAUGAAGGUCUUCGGAUCGUAAAACUCUGUUAUUAGGGAAGAACAUAUGUGUAAGUAACUGUGCACAUCUUGACGGUACCUAAUCAGAAAGCCACGGCUAACUACGUG
Molecule: ribosomal RNA, 497 nt
Filed under: uncultured bacterium
Lineage: Bacteria
Description: partial 16S ribosomal RNA
Rfam family: Bacterial small subunit ribosomal RNA
Source: RNAcentral